UACAGAGGGGGCAAGCGUUGUUCGGAAUUACUGGGCGUAAAGGGCGCGUAGGCGGCCUGUUAAGUCGAACGUGAAAUCCCUGGGCUCAACCCAGGAACUGCGUCCGAUACUGGCAGGCUUGAAUUCGGGAGAGGGAUGCGGAAUUCCAGGUGUAGCGGUGAAAUGCGUAGAUAUCUGGAGGAACACCGGUGGCGAAGGCGGCAUCCUGGACCGACAUUGACGCUGAACGGCGAAAGCUAGGGGAGCAAACGGG
This 253-nucleotide ribosomal RNA is filed under the name uncultured bacterium. Its description in RNAcentral is "partial 16S ribosomal RNA". It matches the Rfam family "Bacterial small subunit ribosomal RNA", at positions 524 to 776 of the family's 1533-position model. The record is from RNAcentral.